GAUGAACGCUAGCGAUAGGCUUAACACAUGCAAGUCGAGCGACCGGCGCACGUGUGCGUAACGUGUAUGCAACUUGCCUCACAGGGGGGGAUAACCCGUCGCAAGACGGACUAAUACCGCGUACUGUGAGAUAGGCAUGCGUCCCAUUAGCUAGUUGGUGAGGUAACGGCUCACCAAGGCAACGACGGGUAGGGGAACUGAGAGGUUGAACCCCCGCACUGCGACUGGGACACGAACCAGACUCCGACGGGAGGCAGGAAUGAGGAAUAAUGGGCAAUAGGCGAGAGGCUGAACCAGCCAAGUCGCGUGAAGGAUGGCAGUGUAUAGAUUGUAUACUUCUUUUGUAAGGGAAUGUGUACCCUACGAAUAGGCAUCGGCUAACUCCGUGCCAGCGGCGCGGUAAUUC
Molecule: ribosomal RNA, 406 nt
Filed under: uncultured bacterium
Lineage: Bacteria
Description: partial 16S ribosomal RNA
Rfam family: Bacterial small subunit ribosomal RNA
Source: RNAcentral